Cyanistes caeruleus (blue tit) is the source of this 528-nucleotide long non-coding RNA. RefSeq lists it as uncharacterized. NCBI's taxonomy places the organism in Eukaryota, Metazoa, Chordata, Aves, Passeriformes, Paridae. The record is from RefSeq and is a predicted model, not a curated record.
UCCCUCUGCGGGAUCUCACGGUGCCUCUGAGGAGCCAGUAGCGAGCGCCUCCCGGCUGGGCCGCGACUGCGCCUCGGGGCCGUUACCAAGCAUUGGAACAGAUUGCCCAGAGAGAUUGUGGAGUCUCCCUCAUUGGAGAUACUGAAGAAUCGUCUGGAUGCGAUCCUGUGCAGUGUACUCAGGGCUGACCCUCCCUGGGCAGGGAGCUUGGACCAGAUGUACUUUUAUUUGCACCAGGGUUCUCUUGGUUCCCCUGACAGUAGUAAGAACAUGUGUAACAACAGUGCUUGUGUAAAACCGUAUGAAGGAAUAAAAGUUUGUUUCAGGUAACGCAAACUGCUGACAAUAUUUGUCAUCUCAUUCUUCACUGCAGUCAACGUGAACAAACACACACUGAAGAUACAACUGGAGCUGUUCUGGUACUGCCACAAAUAUGUAAAAUUAAUUAUUGCAUAAUUACUCAGAUUGAUUUUAACAAAGUCUUUAUAAAAAUUUAAAUAAAGUAUCAAAAAGUUAUAUGAUGUCUUG